Molecule: unclassified non-coding RNA, 328 nt
Filed under: soil metagenome
Description: partial contains 5.8S ribosomal RNA, internal transcribed spacer 2, and large subunit ribosomal RNA
Rfam family: 5.8S ribosomal RNA (bases 1-120)
Source: RNAcentral
GAUGAAGAACGUAGCGAAAUGCGAUAAGUAAUGUGAAUUGCAGAAUUCAGUGAAUCAUCGAAUGUUUGAACGCACAUUGCGCCCCUUGGUAUUCCGAGGGGCAUGCCUGUUCGAGCGUCAUUAUAACCCUCAAGCUCAGCUUGGUGUUGGGGCCUGCUGCACUGGCAGCCCUUAAAAUCAGUGGCGGCGCCAUCUGGCUCUAAGCGUAGUAAUUCUUCUCGCUAUGGAGUCCUGGUGGAUGCUUGCCAUCAACCCCCAAUUUUUCUAUGGUUGACCUCGGAUCAGGUAGGGAUACCCGCUGAACUUAAGCAUAUCAAUAAGCGGAGGA